RNAcentral lists this long non-coding RNA (541 nucleotides) under Androctonus crassicauda. Lineage: Eukaryota; Metazoa; Arthropoda; Arachnida; Scorpiones; Buthidae. The record is from RNAcentral.
UGUAAAAUUCUUGUAGAAAUUUGUUUCUUUAAUCUGUAGAUGUUCAUAAUGUUCUAUCUAUGUAAAAUUCAAUAAAAUUCAUUUCCAAAUCUCAUUUUUACAGAAUAAGCACAGUGGUUUCAGUAUGUAAAGUUUAUUUACAAAUUAUAUACAAAAAAAAAUUAUAAUCCAUAAAUACAUAUGGAGAAUAUAAUAUAUAAUAGAACAGCAAAUCCUUCAAUGGACAAGUGACAGUGAGUAACCAUAAAAGAAAUACCCCAGAAACCAGAUCCAAGUUAUCCAGAAGCUCUUCAUUGAUUGAUCUGCUUGUAGUAACCACUGGAAAGAAUAUCCACAAAGAAAUAUGAUGAAUCUUCUUUUCUUCAGAGAUCCAAUGAUCAUCAAAAUCUGCUGCUUAUCAAGUCUGGCUCAUUCUAGAUGUCCCUCAGUGUCCAAACUGACUUCUUACUCUCUGUGUCACUCCUAUCACAUGUAUCUCUAUAUAUAUAUAUAUAUCUCAAGCAUCUUUCAGGUCUUUGUGUGUGGCUUUCUUAAAGCCCUG